UCAUCUUCUGAGCCUAUUCAUAGAAGACAAUGCCUGCCCAGUGAAACAUUUAAACGGCCGCGUUAGCGUGAGCGUGCUAAGGUAGCGUAAUAAAUAGCCUCUUAAUUGGAGGCCAGCGAAUGGCAAGACUAGGAACACCUGUACCCUUUGUAUUAAAAAAACUUUUCAUCUAAGUGAAAAGACUUAGAUAAUAAAGGAAGACGAAAAGACCCCGCGGAACUUUACUUUUUCUUGUACCCCCGCCCAAAAGCAUAAUAGUACGAAAAGUUUGAUUGGGGCAAUCUCGGAACCAACAAGCUUCCGAUUCUUUAAACAAAAAAAUCCAAAAUUUGAUAUAGAAAAAAUCAGAAGUUACCCCGGGGAUAACAGCGUUAUCCAACUCAAGAGUACACAUCGAAAGUUGGGUUUGCGACCUCGAUGUUGGCUUAAGGAUAUCCACAUUAGUGCAACCGCUAUGGAAGGAUAGUCUGUUCGACUAUUACACCC
This 486-nucleotide ribosomal RNA is filed under the name Gonidea angulata. Its description in RNAcentral is "partial large subunit ribosomal RNA". It matches the Rfam family "Bacterial large subunit ribosomal RNA", at positions 1826 to 2595 of the family's 2925-position model. Lineage: Eukaryota; Metazoa; Mollusca; Bivalvia; Unionida; Unionidae. The record is from RNAcentral.